CCACAGUUUCACUGCUUUAUCUUACUCUGUCAACUUGGGGGCUGAAUUAUGGUUUUAAUAUCUUGGUCUCUGCUCUGACUAUGAUUUGUUCUUUGUUGUUUUUCUGAUCUGCACUUUGGAGUAACACAUUUGUUAGAGACACUUGGGCUGGUCAGAGCAGAGAGAGAAAAUUUCCCUCUUACAAAUUAUGUGUAUCUGUGAUCUAAACAUGUUCAGAAUUUGUGAAUCUUUCACAACAUUUAAGCACAAAUUCCUCAUAGAAUAGAAAUACAUCUUUACACUUCAUUUUUUAAUUAAAACCAUCAGCACAUUCCAGCGUGUGUUUUCCCCACUUACAUAUUUUCAUUGCAACCUUCAAUCAAAAUGCAUCUUCCAUCUAUUUUUACAACUAUUUUGCUUUAAAUAUUUAACGACAAACACACAAAAUGCAACGUUGGCUCAAUUUGGCCCUUAUUUCAUAAACUAGGCCCAAAGGACUACACACAUGGAUACAGUUUCACACAUAAAUAAGAAUGCAGUGGAUCAGAGUCUAUAUUAUUACUAUUAUUAUUCAUAACAGAGAGGACUAUAAAUGUACUUUGCUUUUCAAAAUUCAGGAACAAUGGAGCAGAGUCUUCUGAGUUAUCACAGGAGUCAGCAGGUGUUCUGUGAAUGGAGAAUUUGAAAGCUCAAGGCCUCAGAGCUCAAACCAGAAGAAAAGCACCAGCCUCAAGCAGCCCACCCUGCAGAAAGCAGCCAACGACUGGAUCUUAAAACAACUGUGUAGGCAGAGCUGUUUAUUCCACUUUGCUUUCCACUCCAUUGUAUCAAUGCAUUUAUUUACUCUCUUGCAGCACUGUGGAUCUAUUUCAUUAUGUUGGCCAAUCUUUCUUUAUAUUAUAUUGUGGUAGUUUGGUCUAGGCCUUCCUUGGUGACC
This 916-nucleotide long non-coding RNA is filed under the name Manacus vitellinus (golden-collared manakin). RNAcentral's name for it is "lncRNA (ENSMVIG00005016832.1)". The record is from RNAcentral. Lineage: Eukaryota; Metazoa; Chordata; Aves; Passeriformes; Pipridae.